UUUGUUUUCUUGUUUAACUUUUUUUUUUUUUGUUAUUUGUUUGAAUGCUUGCUUUCAGAUUGCUGCAGAAUUCCACAGAAAUACUAAUAUCAGCUUGAAAAACAAGUGCUAUGCAGAACUGGACAACCAUACUCCUCGACUGAUUGCUGUUAAGCUGCAGAAGCACUGAGAAGCAUCUUUAGUGCCUUUGAUCUUGUGGAUCACUACGAUAUUGACAAUAGACGUACAGCUGCACUUCGAGCCCUCCCUGUCUACUUGCACGAAGAUGACUCUGUGUUUUUCAAGAUGUGGAAUACUGAAGAGGUGGAUGAGCCAGACAUUGCAGAUUCAGCUGUAGCUCUUGUCAGCAUGGUGAAUGGAGACUCGACUUCCACUGUUCAGUUUGACCCUGCUGGGAUUGCUAUUGUUCUAAGGGACAUUUCCAGGUUGGCUGAUGAUUUUCUUUUGAUGUUUGGUUUGAUAUAUGCAUUACAUCUCAACUACCCCAAAGAGCUGACACACACAUUUAAAGGAUUAGUUCACUUUAAAAAAAACUUUUGCUGAUACUCACCCCCAUGUCAUCCAAGAUGUCCAUGUCUUUCUUUCUUCAGUCGAAAAGAAAUUAAGGUUUUUGAUGAAAACAUUCCAGGAUUUUUCUCCGUAUAAUGGACUUCAAUGGGGUCCAAACGGCUCAAGGUCCAAAUGACAGUUUCAGUACAGCUUCAAAGGGCUUUAAACGGUACCAGACGAUGAAUAAGGG
Rhinichthys klamathensis goyatoka is the source of this 739-nucleotide long non-coding RNA. RefSeq lists it as uncharacterized. The transcript has 3 exons. The record is from RefSeq and is a predicted model, not a curated record. Lineage: Eukaryota; Metazoa; Chordata; Actinopteri; Cypriniformes; Leuciscidae.